Molecule: ribosomal RNA, 508 nt
Filed under: Dinophysis acuminata
Lineage: Eukaryota; Dinophyceae; Dinophysales; Dinophysaceae
Description: partial Bacterial small subunit ribosomal RNA
Rfam family: Bacterial small subunit ribosomal RNA
Source: RNAcentral
UGAUCCUGGCUCAGGAUGAACGCUGGCGGUAUGCUUAAUACAUGCAAGUCGUACGAGAGCUUUUAGCUCUAGUGGCGGACGGGUGAGUAACACGUGAGAAUCUGCCCUUAGGAGGAGGAUAACAGCUGGAAACGGUUGCUAAUACUCCAUACGCCGAGAGGUGAAAGGAUUUAUCUGCCUAAGGAGGAGCUCGCGUCUGAUUAGCUAGUUGGUAAGGUAAAGGCUUACCAAGGCGACGAUCAGUAGCUGGUUUGAGAGGAUGAUCAGCCACACUGGGACUGAGACACGGCCCAGACUCCUACGGGAGGCAGCAGUGGGGAAUCUUAGACAAUGGGCGCAAGCCUGAUCUAGCCAUGCCGCGUGAGUGACGAAGGCCUUAGGGUCGUAAAGCUCUUUCGCCAGAGAUGAUAAUGACAGUAUCUGGUAAAGAAACCCCGGCUAACUCCGUGCCAGCAGCCGCGGUAAUACGGAGGGGGUUAGCGUUGUUCGGAAUUACUGGGCGUAAAGC